RNAcentral lists this ribosomal RNA (218 nucleotides) under uncultured Actinomycetales bacterium. RNAcentral's name for it is "partial 16S ribosomal RNA". It matches the Rfam family "Bacterial small subunit ribosomal RNA", at positions 114 to 334 of the family's 1533-position model. The record is from RNAcentral. Lineage: Bacteria; Bacillati; Actinomycetota; Actinomycetes; Actinomycetales.
ACGGUGGGUGAUCUGCCCUGCACGUUCGGGAUAAGCUUGGGAAACUGGGUCUAAUACCGGAUAGGACCAUCGUUUAGUGUCGGUGGUGGAAAGUUUUUUCGGUGUGGGAUGAGCUCGCGGCCUAUCAGCUUGUUGGUGGGGUAAUGGCCUACCAAGGCGUCGACGGGUAGCCGGCCUGAGAGGGUGUACGGCCACAUUGGGACUGAGAUACGGCCCAG